AAACAGUGUCCUGCAAACAUGUGUGUACAUAAGCACAUGGGAACAGUCUGGAAGGAAUGAGGUCACGCUCCUAAUCUUCGCUGCCUCUGGAAGGGACCAGGCUACAGAGUGGCGAUAGGGUGUGCGUGCGUGUACACAAGUCAAGUUGGGGGGUACUGGCUUCAACUGUAAUGAUUUUACUUUUUAACUAAACAAUAAUGAACAAUAAAGCAUGUUCCAGGUCAGGGGAGACAGAGGCGAUAGGGAAAUGCCAAACCACACUCAUGAAGAACAAAGAAACACCGUGACGCUCUGCAGUCCGCUGGUGGGUUUUGAGUCUUCACUUUAUUACUAUGUCACCAGAAGUCACCACCUUCACUGGUUCACCACAAAUGGACGGAUGUCAUAGAGGAGGGUGCCAUGGGGCCACUGGAUUCACUCGUGAGAGACUUAACCAGGUGGUGGGGGAGUCCAGAGUGGGGGCCCAGGAUGGGGACUGCCAUUCACUGCGCACACGCACACACACACAGAUAUAUUUGUGGAGCCUUAUAUUAUACAUCUUAUAUAUAGAAAAUAUAUAUAUUUAUACUAUACACAGGCAGUAACGCUGCGGGCAGGGCGGGGGCACCCAGACAAGGGCUGUGGGCACCUGGGUACGGGGAGUGUCACAUUGAGGGGCAGCGCCAGGAGAUGGGUGGACACGUCCAUCCUCCCACAAACUCUUGUUGGGAGGGGUGCUCCCCCUUUGUGCUCCAUAGAGAAUCAAAGGGGUCUUGGGCCAAGACUGGGGGCUCCCGAGGGGUAGUACGGGGGGGUGGUCUUGGUUACAUGGGGGAAGCCUGAGAUCCCCAACAGACUUUGAAGAUCAAGAAUCACCUGGGAAGGCAGGAGUGGGGAGCAGAUGCUGGGACCCUCUGAGCUGGCCCCAACAGUUACACCCCCAGGUGUGGCAGGAGCCACACCCAGGCAGAUGACCUGUGACUGCACAAUCAGAGGCUGGAGACCUGGAUCUGGAACCUCUAGCUCUGUGCUUAACCAUGGACAAGUCACUGUCUUCCUGGCCCAGACUUCACCCCUGUAAGGGUCCUCGAAGCUCUAAACUCGUGUGGAACUCAGUUUUCCUUGGCCCUCUCUAGUACUCGAUGGGAGGAGGGGGUCCAAACUCAGCAAGGUCAGACUGCAGGGGUGCCCUUCUCCAAGGAAAGGCUUGGAAGCAGGGGGGAGGCAGAGGAGGGGCAGCAGGGAGGGAAAGGGGGUGCCACUGACCUGUGAGCACUGGCUCCAGGCUUGAGGCCUCCAGGGGAUUGUCCCCAGCCAACAGAAGCAGCAAGACUUGCCCACCGACCACUCAGAAGGGGAGUCAGGAGCCCUGGGUCUCAAUUAAAUCCUGCGCUCCACAUCUCUGGUCCUCUCUUUCUCACCCACCAGGGCACAGCCUGACCCCGGAUGGGGUCCUGCCUGGGCGGCACCCCAGGACUAGUGGGGAAUGCUGAGUGAAAUGACUCAGCACCCCCAUUCCUGGCAGGGGGUCUGGUAAACCUUCCCAUUCUGGGGUGGCAGGGAGACGCUGUAAUAAAUAUGCAGUACCUUGCUCUCUCACCCAGCAUCACCAGCAGCUGGUCAGUGCCAGGGGAACAGACAGGCAGCACCCUGGGGUCUCCCCAGCAAGGGAGGCUUUUGAUAGGGAGGAGACGAGGGGGAGGACUUCUCAUAGCAUCCUGUGUGGACACCAAACUUCUCUUUGCCAGAAACAGACCACAUCCACCUGCACCCUGACCUGCUUUGCAAACCUCUGGUCUAGUGCAGCCCCACUGCUCAACUUGGAGGAUACCAGAGUCCCAGCCUGUUCCAACCUGGGCCACCUGGGGGAGCCCCUUCCCCAGACGUGGAAAGUUGAAGUCCCCAACAAGCAGCUGUCAUCCGGCUGUCUGGGGUCCUCUCCCGUCACCGCUGCCCCUUGGGAGGACUUGAUCAGACCUGAUCCAUGCUCCACUGCUAACUCACUCGCGCGCUGAGCCUCAGUUUCUCCUUCUGUUAAGUGGGGGCAAUGAUGCUGCUUCUCUGCCAAGGAAAUUCCCGCUCCUUCCCUCACUGCCACACUAACACCUACCCAUCCUCCGGGCCCCUCCGUGGGAACCCGCAUCCAUACAGCUGUACUCACACAGCGCCUGGCCCCUGUAAGGGACCCUGGGUCCAGCGGUCGGUUUAACGCUCAUCUCUGAGGAUAGUCAGCUCCUCAAGGGCAGACACCCCACCCUCUGUGUUCCCGCCACAAAUGCCCCAUCACUGCUGAGUCAACAGGCAAGUGGGUGGCUAUGACCUGCCUCUUAGGGUUCUCGUGGGGGCUGGUGGUGG
Molecule: long non-coding RNA, 2334 nt
Organism: Bos taurus (domestic cattle)
Lineage: Eukaryota; Metazoa; Chordata; Mammalia; Artiodactyla; Bovidae
Source: Ensembl